Molecule: ribosomal RNA, 230 nt
Filed under: uncultured bacterium
Lineage: Bacteria
Description: partial 16S ribosomal RNA
Rfam family: Bacterial small subunit ribosomal RNA
Source: RNAcentral
AAAGCGCACGUAGGCGGAUCUUUAAGUCAGAGGUGAAAUCCCAAGGCUCAACCUUGGAACUGCCUUUGAUACUGGGGAUCUCGAGUCCGGAAGAGGUGAGUGGAACUCCGAGUGUAGAGGUGAAAUUCGUAGAUAUUCGGAAGAACACCAGUGGCGAAGGCGGCUCACUGGUCCGGUACUGACGCUGAGGUGCGAAAGCGUGGGGAGCAAACAGGAUUAGAUACCCCAGU